Molecule: ribosomal RNA, 1464 nt
Filed under: Paraclostridium bifermentans
Lineage: Bacteria; Bacillati; Bacillota; Clostridia; Peptostreptococcales; Peptostreptococcaceae
Description: bacterial SSU rRNA
Rfam family: Bacterial small subunit ribosomal RNA
Source: RNAcentral
AGAGUUUGAUCGUGGCUCAGGAUGAACGCUGGCGGCGUGCCUAACACAUGCAAGUCGAGCGAUCUCUUCGGAGAGAGCGGCGGACGGGUGAGUAACGCGUGGGUAACCUGCCCUGUACACACGGAUAACAUACCGAAAGGUAUACUAAUACGGGAUAACAUAUNAAAGUCGCAUGGCUUUUGUAUCAAAGCUCCGGCGGUACAGGAUGGACCCGCGUCUGAUUAGCUAGUUGGUAAGGUAAUGGCUUACCAAGGCAACGAUCAGUAGCCGACCUGAGAGGGUGAUCGGCCACACUGGAACUGAGACACGGUCCAGACUCCUACGGGAGGCAGCAGUGGGGAAUAUUGCACAAUGGGCGAAAGCCUGAUGCAGCAACGCCGCGUGAGCGAUGAAGGCCUUCGGGUCGUAAAGCUCUGUCCUCAAGGAAGAUAAUGACGGUACUUGAGGAGGAAGCCCCGGCUAACUACGUGCCAGCAGCCGCGGUAAUACGUAGGGGGCUAGCGUUAUCCGGAAUUAUUGGGCGUAAAGGGUGGGUAGGUGGUUUUUUAAGUCAGAAGUGAAAGGCUACGGCUCAACCGUAGUAAGCUUUUGAAACUAGGGAACUUGAGUGCAGGAGAGGAGAGUAGAAUUCCUAGUGUAGCGGUGAAAUGCGUAGAUUUUAGGAGGAAUCCCAGUAGCGAAGGGGGCUCUUUGGACUGUAACUGACACUGAGGCACGAAAGCGUGGGGAGCAAACAGGAUUAGAUACCCUGGUAGUCCACGCCGUAAACGAUGAGUACUAGGUGUCGGGGGUUACCCCCCUCGGUGCCGCAGCUAACGCAUUAAGUACUCCGCCUGGGAAGUACGCUCGCAAGAGUGAAACUCAAAGGAAUUGACGGGGACCCGCACAAGUAGCGGAGCAUGUGGUUUUAUUCGAAGCAACGCGAAGAACCUUACCUAAAGCUUGACAAUCCCACUGACCUCUCCCCUAAUCGGAGAUUUCCCUUCGGGGACAGUGGUGACAGGUGGUGGCAUGGUUGUCGUCAGCUCGUGUCGUGAGAUGUUUGGGUUAAGUCCCGCAACGAGCGCAACCCUUGCCUUUAGUUGCCAGCAUUAAGUUGGGCACUCUAGAGGGACUGCCGAGGAUAACUCGGAGGAAGGUGGGGAUGACGUCAAAUCAUCAUGCCCCUUAUGCUUAGGGCUACACACGUGCUACAAUGGGUGGUACAGAGGGUUGCCAAGCCGCGAGGUGGAGCUAAUCCCUUAAAGCCAUUCUCAGUUCGGAUUGUAGGCUGAAACUCGCCUACAUGAAGCUGGAGUUACUAGUAAUCGCAGAUCAGAAUGCUGCGGGAAUGCGUUCCCGGGUCUUGUACACACCGCCCGUCACACCAUGGAAGUUGGGGGCGCCCGAAGCCGGUUAGCUAACCUUUUAGGAAGCGGCCGUCGAAGGUGAAACCAAUGACUGGGGUGAAGUCGUAACAAGGUA